AACGAACGCUGGCGGCAUGCCUAACACAUGCAAGUCGAACGGGAUCCAGGCUUCGGCCUGGUGAGAGUGGCGGACGGGUGAGUAACACGUGGGAACCUGCCUUUUGGUUCGGGAUAACCGCGGGAAACUGCGGCUAAUACCGGAUGCUCCCGAGAGGGGAAAGAUUUAUCGCCAGAAGAGGGGCCCGCGUCCGAUUAGGUAGUUGGUGAGGUAAUGGCUCACCAAGCCGACGAUCGGUAGCUGGUCUGAGAGGAUGAUCAGCCACACUGGGACUGAGAUACGGCCCAGACUCCUACGGGAGGCAGCAGUGGGGAAUAUUGGACAAUGGGGCAACCCUGAUCCAGCAAUGCCGCGUGAGUGAUGAAGGCCUUAGGGUUGUAAAGCUCUGUCGUAUGGGAAUAAGAAAGUGAAUGUACCAUGCAAGAAAGGAUCGGCUAACUUCGUGCCAGCAGCCGCGGUAAU
RNAcentral lists this ribosomal RNA (462 nucleotides) under uncultured bacterium. RNAcentral's name for it is "bacterial SSU rRNA". It matches the Rfam family "Bacterial small subunit ribosomal RNA", at positions 29 to 524 of the family's 1533-position model. The record is from RNAcentral.